RNAcentral lists this ribosomal RNA (439 nucleotides) under uncultured bacterium. Its description in RNAcentral is "partial 16S ribosomal RNA". It matches the Rfam family "Bacterial small subunit ribosomal RNA", at positions 339 to 795 of the family's 1533-position model. The record is from RNAcentral.
CUACGGGUGGCUGCAGUGGGGAAUAUUGCACAAUGGAGGAAACUCUGAUGCAGCAACGCCGCGUGGAGGAUGACACUUUUCGGAGCGUAAACUCCUUUUAUAUAGAAAGAAGAUGACGGUACUAUAUGAAUAAGCGCCGGCUAACUCCGUGCCAGCAGCCGCGGUAAUACGGAGGGCGCAAGCGGUACUCGGAAUCACUGGGCGUAAAGAGCGUGUAGGCGGAUUAAAAAGUCAGAAGUGAAAUCCUAUAGCUUAACUAUAGAACUGCUUCUGAAACUCUUAAUCUAGAAUAUGGGAGAGGUAGAUGGAAUUUCUGGUGUAGGGGUAAAAUCCGUAGAGAUCAGAAGGAAUACCGAUUGCGAAGGCGAUCUACUAGAACAUUAUUGACGCUGAGACGCGAAAGCGUGGGGAGCAAACAGGAUUAGAUACCCCUGUAGUC